GAUGAACGCUGGCGGCGUGCCUAACACAUGCAAGUCGAGCGGCAGCGAGGGGUGCUUGCACCCUGUCGGCGAGCGGCGGACGGCUGAGUAACGCGUGGGAACGUGCCCCAAAGUGAGGAAUAACUGCCCGAAAGGGUAGCUAAUACCGCAUAUUAUCUUCGGAUCAAAGGAUUUAUCCGCUUUGGGAGCGGCUCGCGUCGGAUUAGGUAGUUGGUGAGGUAAUGGCUCACCAAGCCGACGAUCCGUAGCUGGUCUGAGAGGAUGACCAGCCAGACUGGAACUGAGACACGGUCCAGACUCCUACGGGAGGCAGCAGUGAGGAAUCUUCCACAAUGGGCGAAAGCCUGAUGGAGCAACGCCGCGUGCAGGACGAAGGCCUUCGGGUUGUAAACUGCUUUUAUAAGUGAGGAAUAUGACGGUAACUUAUGAAUAAGGAUCGGCUAACUACGU
Molecule: ribosomal RNA, 450 nt
Filed under: uncultured bacterium
Lineage: Bacteria
Description: partial 16S ribosomal RNA
Rfam family: Bacterial small subunit ribosomal RNA
Source: RNAcentral